UGGAGAGCAGGAAUGUGGGAGAGUAUGAAUUGCAAAAUGAGGAAUCUGCAGUGAGAGGAGACCAUUUAGGGAUGUGGAUUCACCAUUACUAUUAAGCCUGCUGAGGGACAUCUGGGAGAGCUGAGCAUCAUUCAGCUGUUUCAGGGUAGCGUUAAACACAUCAUUUUCACCCGUCUGACA
This is a long non-coding RNA of Pristis pectinata (smalltooth sawfish), 180 nucleotides long. RefSeq lists it as uncharacterized. Lineage: Eukaryota; Metazoa; Chordata; Chondrichthyes; Rhinopristiformes; Pristidae. The record is from RefSeq and is a predicted model, not a curated record. The transcript is spliced from 3 exons.